AACAUCGCGCACCUGCGGGAACCUGCGGAGGGAUCAUUACCGAAGUUACUCUUCAUACCCUUAUGUGAACCCUACCCCUCGCCGCGCGGUUGCCUCGGCGUGGAGGUCGGGGGCGGGGCCCCGGCCCCGCCUUCCCGGCCCCCGCCGGCCGCGCCUAACUCUUCUUCUGCAAAGCGGACUGCACGUUUCUGAUUACAACUUGAAAAAACAAGUCAAAACUUUCAGCAACGGAUCUCAGAU
Molecule: unclassified non-coding RNA, 240 nt
Filed under: soil metagenome
Description: partial contains 5.8S ribosomal RNA, internal transcribed spacer 2, and large subunit ribosomal RNA
Source: RNAcentral